RNAcentral lists this ribosomal RNA (1821 nucleotides) under Clostridioides difficile. RNAcentral describes it as "bacterial LSU rRNA". It matches the Rfam family "Bacterial large subunit ribosomal RNA", at positions 1082 to 2925 of the family's 2925-position model. Lineage: Bacteria; Bacillati; Bacillota; Clostridia; Peptostreptococcales; Peptostreptococcaceae. The record is from RNAcentral.
UGCACAGACAACCAGGAUGUUGGCUUAGAAGCAGCCACUCAUUCAAAGAGUGCGUAAUAGCUCACUGGUCGAGUGAUCCUGCGCCGAAGAUUUCCGGGGCUAAAACUUACUACCGAAGCUACGGCAUCAGUAAUGAUGGGUAGGGGAGCUUCCCAUACGGGUUGAAGCAUGACCGUAAGGACAUGUGGACAGUAUGGGAGUGAGAAUGUUGGCAUGAGUAGCGAGAUGUGGGUGAGAAUCCCACAGGCCGUAAACCCAAGGUUUCCAGGGGAAGGUUCGUCCGCCCUGGGUUAGUCGGGACCUAAGCUGAGGCCGAAAGGCGUAGGUGAUGGACAACAGGUUGAUAUUCCUGUACUACCGAUAACCGUUUGAGAGAAGGGAUGACACAGUAGGAUAAGCUAAGCACACUGUUGGUUAUGUGUGCCCAAGCAUUGAGGCAGUCAAAGUAGGCAAAUCCGCUUUGAUAAUGCUGGGAUGUGAUGGGGAGCGAAAUUUAGUAGCGAAGUAGCUGAUUUCACACUGUCAAGAAAAGUCUCUAUCGAGGUUAAAGGUACCCGUACCGCAAACCGACACAGGUGGGUGAGGAGAGUAUCCUAAGGCCAGCGAGAGAACUGUUGUUAAGGAACUCGGCAAAAUGACCCCGUAACUUAGGGAUAAGGGGUGCCACCAUCAGGUGGCCGCAGAGAAUAGGCCCAAGCGACUGUUUACCAAAAACAUAGGUUUCUGCUAAGUCGCAAGACGAUGUAUAGGAGCUGACGCCUGCCCGGUGCUGGAAGGUUAAGGGGAUCUGUUAGAGCAAUCGAAGCAGUGAACUUAAGCCCCAGUAAACGGCGGCCGUAACUAUAACGGUCCUAAGGUAGCGAAAUUCCUUGUCGGGUAAGUUCCGACCCGCACGAAAGGCGUAACGAUUUGGGCACUGUCUCAACAACAGACUCGGUGAAAUUGUAAUUCCGGUGAAGAUGCCGGAUACCUGCGACAGGACGGAAAGACCCCAUGGAGCUUUACUGUAGCUUGACAUUGGGUCUUGGUACUACAUGUACAGGAUAGGUGGGAGGCUUUGAAACCAGGACGCCAGUUUUGGCGGAGCCAUCCUUGGGAUACCACCCUUGUAGUACUGGGACUCUAACCAUAGGCCAUGAAUCUGGUCUUGGGACACUGUCAGGUGGGCAGUUUGACUGGGGCGGUCGCCUCCCAAAAGGUAACGGAGGCGCUCAAAGGUUCUCUCAGUACGGUCGGAAAUCGUACGUAGAGUGUAAAGGCAAAAGAGAGCUUGAUUGCAAGACAUACAGGUCGAGCAAGGAUGAAAAUCGGACUUAGUGAUCCGGUGGUUCUGCGUGGAAGGGCCAUCGCUCAACGGAUAAAAGCUACCCUGGGGAUAACAGGCUUAUCUCCCCCAAGAGUCCACAUCGACGGGGAGGUUUGGCACCUCGAUGUCGGCUCAUCACAUCCUGGGGCUGUAGUAGGUCCCAAGGGUUGGGCUGUUCGCCCAUUAAAGUGGUACGCGAGCUGGGUUCAGAACGUCGUGAGACAGUUCGGUCCCUAUCCGUCGCAGGCGUAGGAAAUUUGAGAAGACCUGUCCUUAGUACGAGAGGACCGGGAUGGACGUACCUCUGGUGUACCAGUUGUCCUGCCAAGGGCAUGGCUGGGUAGCUAUGUACGGAAUGGAUAAGCGCUGAAAGCAUCUAAGCGCGAAGCCAACUUCAAGAUAAGAUUUCCCACCGCAAGGGUAAGACCCCAGAAAGACUAUCUGGUUGAUAGGUCGAAGGUGUAAGUGCAGCAAUGUAUUUAGCUUAUCGAUACUAAUAGGUCGAGGACUUGACC